UUUCUUUCAGAAUUUCUGGAAGGAGCUGCCCAACUAAGCAGAACCUGUGCUCAGUGUUCAAGCUGUGCUCGAGGCUGGGUUAUAGAACAUCUCCUCCGUUGGAUGUCCUGCAGCUGAGGCCAAAGCUGUGCACUUCCCAGCGGGAAGCAGAGCUGUGCUGCACCCUUAGCAGAGGUGGAGAAAUCCUGGGCAGAAGCUCAUGACCAGGAGCAGCAUUUUCAAGAGAAAAAGGAGGCAGCCCAUAACUGAGACAGUUUAAAAGAAGAACCUAGAGGCGAACAGAGAGGUGGGGACUUCACACCAAGAAUGCUCUGCCUUCAAACACCUGGUUUCGCUGGACUCAUCUCACAUCUUCGAACGGUUAAGAUGGAAAAUGAGGAGGGAGAUUGCACAUCUACAAGGAAAUUUCCUUCCUAAAUUUAAGGAUUGCUUCUUGUGGAUCUGUGAAGUACUGAGCAAAGUGUCUGGGAAAUCAAGGUGGAGCUCUCAGAGGCUCUGGGAUGGAAAACUAUGGGAAAUUGGAGGUCACCAUGGAAACGUUCGCUGGAGCAGGAAAUGAAACUGCUGUGUUGAUCAAGUGAAUAAUCAUUUCUCUACAGCCCAAAAAGUGCAGUGCACCUCCCCUGCCCCUCAUGGCUUUGUCUCCUCCAGCAGCCUGGCUGGGGCUCUCCCUGCUUCAGAAGUGUUCUUGGUAUGGAACUGAGAGAGCCCUGCACUUCCCAGUUUGGCUCACAGGGCUGUU
Corapipo altera (White-ruffed manakin) is the source of this 742-nucleotide long non-coding RNA. RefSeq lists it as uncharacterized. NCBI's taxonomy places the organism in Eukaryota, Metazoa, Chordata, Aves, Passeriformes, Pipridae. The record is from RefSeq and is a predicted model, not a curated record. The transcript has 4 exons.